UGGGGGAUAUUGCACAAUGGGCGCAAGCCUGAUGCAGCGACGCCGCGUGUGGGAAGACGGUCCUCGGAUUGUAAACCACUGGCUUUGGGGACGAUAAUGACGGUACCCAAGGAGGAAGCUCCGGCUAACUACGUGCCAGCAGCCGCGGUAAUACGUAGGGAGCGAGCGUUGUCCGGAAUUACUGGGUGUAAAGGGAGCGUAGGCGGGAUAUCAAGUUGAAUGUGAAAUCUACCGGCUCAACUGGUAGGCUGCGUUCAAAACUGAUAUUCUUGAGUGAAGUAGAGGUUGGCGGAAUUCCUAGUG
Molecule: ribosomal RNA, 303 nt
Filed under: uncultured bacterium
Lineage: Bacteria
Description: bacterial SSU rRNA
Rfam family: Bacterial small subunit ribosomal RNA
Source: RNAcentral